RNAcentral lists this unclassified non-coding RNA (384 nucleotides) under fungal sp. RNAcentral's name for it is "partial internal transcribed spacer region". The stretch from base 1 to 46 matches the Rfam family "Eukaryotic small subunit ribosomal RNA", at positions 1786 to 1831 of the family's 1831-position model. Lineage: Eukaryota; Fungi. The record is from RNAcentral.
AAGUCGUAACAAGGUUUCCGUAGGUGAACCUGCGGAAGGAUCAUUAAAACGUAUCCAAACGUUAACCAACUGUGAACUCGUUUCUCCCUUGAUUUCUUGCGAAAUUGGAGCUGUGAAUGACAUUGAGUGGGAUCCCUUCAACAAGGAUCGGUCAUCUGCAGUCACUGAUAUACUUGUAUAUCGACAAGAGUAGUGAAGUCAAGGCAAUUCUCUCUGCUUUCAUUCUCCAUUCAAGGGUGGAGCGGAGGGGUCAUUUACAUUAACCAUAAUCACCCCCUUUUUGCUAGUUGACUUUUUUAAUGUUGGUGUUUACGAAAGUAUUCAUCACACGUUUCAUUAUUUGAACGUAAAAUACAACUCUUAGCAAUGGAUAUCUUGGUUCUC